GACGAACGCUGGCGGCGUGCUUAACACAUGCAAGUCGAACGGAAAGGCCCUGCUUUUGUGGGGUGCUCGAGUGGCGAACGGGUGAGUAACACGUGAGUAACCUGCCCUUGACUUUGGGAUAACUUCAGGAAACUGGGGCUAAUACCGGAUAGGAGCUCCUGCUGCAUGGUGGGGGUUGGAAAGUUUCGGCGGUUGGGGAUGGACUCGCGGCUUAUCAGCUUGUUGGUGGGGUAGUGGCUUACCAAGGCUUUGACGGGUAGCCGGCCUGAGAGGGUGACCGGCCACAUUGGGACUGAGAGACGGACCAGACUCCUACGGGAGGCAGCAGUGGGGAAUAUUGCACAAUGGGCGGAAGCCUGAUGCAGCAACGCCGCGUGCGGGAUGACGGCCUUCGGGUGGUAAACCGCUUUCGCCUGUGACGAAGCGUGAGUGACGGUAAUGGGUAAAGAAGCACCGGCUAACUACGUG
RNAcentral lists this ribosomal RNA (468 nucleotides) under uncultured bacterium. RNAcentral describes it as "partial 16S ribosomal RNA". It matches the Rfam family "Bacterial small subunit ribosomal RNA", at positions 28 to 507 of the family's 1533-position model. The record is from RNAcentral.